CCACAUUUUUCCAACGCGUAAUAAGUAUAAUUGUAACAACCAAAAUAUAAUCGCCGUCCGAGUGACAGUAAGUUAUAAUGACAUAGGUGUGCACUAAAUUGUUGGUGUACUUUUCAUAUUUUUACUUAUCAGUUGUAUCCGGAUGAAAAAUCGUAUACGUAUAUUGUACAGAGUGACUCAUUUAUCACAAACCCGCGAUUACCUUUAAGGAUUUUAUGCGCCAAUAUGAUUUAUGUUUUUCUAGUCAUUAUGGAAUAGUGUAUUUUUUAUUUUCAAUUUUUCACCCCUAAUUCUUUUGUACCUUAAAUAAAUUAACACUUUUGACUUUUAAAUAGGAAUGCCUAUAGUGUUCAACACAUAUUCGAAUAGAAAAUAUCGGAUUUAUCGUUUUAUUAGUUUAACCGUUUAAAUUUUAUAUCAGAGGAGUAUAGGGAAGAGUUACUAAUUCGUCAUUUAAAAAUGGAUAUUAAGUUUGCUACCCUUCCCUACUCGUUGUAGGAUACUAUACUCA
Cinara cedri is the source of this 511-nucleotide non-coding RNA. The record is from the annotation of a GenBank genome assembly. Lineage: Eukaryota; Metazoa; Arthropoda; Insecta; Hemiptera; Aphididae.